AUACGUAGGGAGCGAGCGUUGUCCGGAAUUACUGGGUGUAAAGGGCGUGUAGGCGGAGAUGCAAGUCAGGAGUGAAAUCUAGGGGCUCAACCCCUAAACUGCUUUUGAAACUGUAUCCCUUGAGUAUCGGAGAGGCAGGCGGAAUUCCCAGUGUAGCGGUGAAAUGCGUAGAUAUUAGGAGGAACACCAGUGGCGAAGGCGGCCUGCUGGACGACAACUGACGCUGAGGCGCGAAAGCGUGGGGAGCAAACAGGAUUAGAUACCCUGGUAGUCCACGCUGUAAACGAUGAAUACUAGGUGUGGGGGGACUGACCCCCUCCGUGCCGCAGUUAACACAAUAAGUAUUCCACCUGGGGAGUACGAUCGCAAGAUUGAAACUCAAAGGAAUUGACGGGG
Molecule: ribosomal RNA, 396 nt
Filed under: uncultured bacterium
Lineage: Bacteria
Description: partial 16S ribosomal RNA
Rfam family: Bacterial small subunit ribosomal RNA
Source: RNAcentral